This 3639-nucleotide long non-coding RNA is filed under the name Mus caroli (Ryukyu mouse). Its description in RNAcentral is "lncRNA (MGP_CAROLIEiJ_G0003886.1)". Lineage: Eukaryota; Metazoa; Chordata; Mammalia; Rodentia; Muridae. The record is from RNAcentral.
GGACGGCCCCGUGGUACAGAAGACCGCCCCACACCCUCUCAUAAACUUUAUUACUCCCUAUCCAUUGGUCCCUCUCGCCCUCUUCUCUCUGUUCCCUAUAUCCCCAGGGAAAUGCACCUAGCUUUCAGGCUGGCUCCGCUUGAUGGAUAACUCAGAGCUCGGAGGAAGGCGACCCUGACUCGACCCGGCAGAAAAGAGGAGACAGAAAACUCCCUCCCUAGAAUCUGGAAUGAACUCCUUGUGUCUGCCGUUCUUCCAGCCUCUCUGGCUUUGGCAGGACACCAGAUUCUGGCUUACCCUUCCUGGCUCUCGUCCCUGGCCAGCCACUGUGACCACUGCUUUGCCAGACCACCAGUGUGUCAGAUUCAUUUCCGUUCCGGAAGAUUGGUAUUUGUAUGGUUAUUGUUUUGAAAAAAAGAAAACGAAUUAAAUUAAGGGGAACCAAGGAGAGGGAUAUUUGUAGCUGAGGCCAUUGCUUCCGUGUGGAGCCCUGGUUGUGCCCUUCAGAGCCUCGGGCCGAGACGGAGUGUGGAGGCUGUGGGGCCCCCGGGAAUUAGCGCGUGGAGUGAACGUCGGGGCAAGAGUUGGGGUGGAUUAGCGGGUUCAAAAGCAGGUCAGGGGGAGCUAAGCGUGGCGACCAAGUCCGUGCUAGGUCAAGGUCCCUGGCAAAGGCUGGCUCGAGCGAUCUGCAGGAAGCCGUACCAGUCUGCAGCUGCCCAGCCAGGGACCAGAGAAAUGCAGCAGGAACCCAUGCUCGUCUGGAAUAAUUCACAGGACCCCGUUCGAGCUCCCUGGUUGAGCGUGUGCUCACCUGAAAGACAGGGUUUCUCUUUUACGUUUUAACCUUUUCUUUCUUUUCUUCUUUAUGUUUGAGACAGGACCUCACUCCGUAGCCCAGGUGGGCCUCCAGCUCAGGGCCAUCCUCCGGUGGAACCCCUGAGAUCAGAGGUGUGUCUCAUCAAGUCCCACCUCUUUGUUUUUAUACUCCCUCCUUUCUGACCAGAUAAAUACAUCGACCCACGCAGGUAGAAUUUUCUUAUCAAGAGUCUCUUUCUCCUCCUGACAUCGGGGGCCAUGUGAGUCAAAUGGGGGGCAGGGAUUUCUGAGACACAAUAAAAGAAUCGCAUCCUUCUCUCCCUGCGCGAGUACCUGCGAUAGGGAGGGAGAGCUGGGAGCAGCUGAGCCGCUUUUUCCUUUGCGAAAGGGAGAGAGGUGACUCUGAGCCCCGAACCUUUGUAGGGCCCUGGAUAGUCCUCCCUUUUCUCCAAAAGACUCGUGAAUUUUCACGGGGAACAAACUUGGAGGCGCGGUGGAAUUCGAAAUCCUGGUCUUGUUGGUGGCCUAAGAACAAUUUACAAAGCAGCCGGGGUGGGGAUGAAUCCUCGAGGUCUACCGAGGGUGGUGGCCCCUCCCGAGUCUCUCGGGCCCUGGCAUCCGGCUUCUUUUCCUCCCGCGCUGUGCAGGCCCAGGGAGUGGGGUACGCGGGUGGACUUGGUUUUGUUGAAAUCCGGUGAAUCUGGACUCGGGUCGGGCUGGCUUCACGGAGUAAACCCGUCCGAUCCCUGCAGGGGAGAAGUUUCCCACUUCCAGCUCUGGGGAAAGAGCGGAAACCGAGGUGGCAGGGAGCAGUGUAAAGCCGAGGUGGCUUGGGAGAGGCCUGGGCUGUGGAGUCCCCGGGCGGCUCCCGCGACUUCUCUGGAAUGCUUCCGCGCUGCAGGCCCUGGAUGCUGGCGUGGACGUGCAGGGUGUAGAGCGGCAGGCCCGGAUGGAUGGGCUGGUGCGGGGCUCGGGUCCGAGUGGAGUAGGUAGAAGCUUGGCUUUGAGACACAAUGAAAAUAAGCUUCUCGGUUCCCAGUCCCACGGUGCCUGACAUCUUUUCACUGGAAAAACGCCCAGAGCUGAAGGCACUGUCUCUCCUUCUUUAGGCGGGCAUUCUCGCUUCGCGGCUUGCAACCGGCCUUCACAGUUCAGGCUGCAGCAACAGAAAUAAUGGGACUGACGGCAAGAAAGUAUCCCAACGCUUUCCCGCUCUUCUGGAGCUGCCUCCACCCCCAUCCCCGCCGCCGCAUCCUUCUUUUUGAAUAAACUUACCGAGAAAGUACAGUUUUGUGUGUAGCCUUUUCUGUUUUCUUUUUCUUUCUUUCUUUCGUUCUCUCUCUCUCUCUCUCUCUCUCUCUCUCUCUCUGUGUGUGUGUGUGGUGGGCGACAGAAGAGGGCGUCGGAUCCCCUGUAGCUGAAACCAGAGUAGAUCUCUUAACCUCUGAGCCAUCCCUCUAGCGCAGCUUAACUAGAAAUUUUAAAUUUACAUCUGUUUAUUAUGUGUGUACAUUUAUGCGCAUCCGCAAGCCAGGAGUCAGAGGACAACUUUUGGGAAUGGGCUCUGUUCAACCAUGUAGGUUCUGGGGAUGGAUCAAAUCAUUAGCUUGAUGCUAGGCGUCUUUAUCCGUUGAGUCAUUUCUCUGUCCCUUCUUUAUUUUUUCAAUUGACCUUGCAGUUGAAAUAGCUCACAACUAAAGCCAUCCUGUCUGCAGCCUUCUCCACCCAGAGCAGAGCCUUUGGAUAUUUAUUUUACAGGCUCAACAGCACAGAGACAUCUCCACUGUGGAGAAACCAUCCCCGACUUGCUUUCUAAAGGGGACAGUGAGGCAUUUACUUCGGAAUUUGUUCGGCAAGAGUCGGGAUCUCAGAUACCAACACAUCGUCCUCAUUCUAAGACAUCCUCUGAAAUCGAACCUAUGCCGGGGUGUCCCUGAACAGAGCACUGGUGGAGAGCCUUCUAGGGAGAAGGAAGAGAGGUCGACCAAAGCUUGUGGUGAGCUCCCUCCCCCAUCUCUGAGGAAAGCUGUUGCUCAGAUAAAGCUCAGAGAAGUGUUUGAAAAGGAGAAACCCUAGAGCCAGAGCCAGCCGACCUAGGGAUCUCGGCUGGCAAAGACUCUUGGCUCUGGGAUUGCAAAGGGACACUUUCUAGUAGUGGGUUCAUUUCAGAGAGCAGGUGGAAAAGCCACGGAAGGCCACGCCCUGGCUAUCCUGGUUAAGGGACUAGGAAAUAGAUCUCAUCCUGUGUUUGUAGGACUUGAGAAGAUUAGAGUAUCAUUAGAUUAAGUAAUUGUUGUGGUUUGGGUCUUGUUAAAAGAUAUAGAUAGAUAGAGAUAGAUAGAUAGCGCCAGUCUGGAGUUCAGGCUGGUCUGGAACCCUUGAUCCUCUAGCCUCUACCAUCCAAUGCUGGGGUGACAGAUGUGCACUCCUCUACAGGGCACAGUGUAAAACAAUUUAAUAACUUUGAAUUUUGUCAUAACAAGAAUAUCUAUGUGUUUUAAGACUAACUUUUAAAAAAUAACUAAAAUUACAUUUAAAAUUUUAAGAUUGGCUUAAAAAAUAUCAGGACUCAGCAGAACCUCCUAGUAUUACUAAAGAGAAGUGUGCAGAAGUCUUUCUCAUACACACAUCUCAGGAGGUGGAGAUGUGUGACGCCAGUAACAAUCUGCUAUUCCGUGCUUCCUACUGCCCCAGAGAGCUGGGGCAUCUUGGCUCUCCCGGGCUAGGUGGAACCAUCUGUCCUUUGGCUUUUGGCAGCAGGAGAACCAGAAGGUCAAGGGCACCGUUGGCCAUAGUUUGAAUUCGAGGCCACUCUGGGUUAUA